RNAcentral lists this ribosomal RNA (253 nucleotides) under uncultured bacterium. RNAcentral's name for it is "partial 16S ribosomal RNA". It matches the Rfam family "Bacterial small subunit ribosomal RNA", at positions 524 to 776 of the family's 1533-position model. The record is from RNAcentral.
UACGGGGGGUGCGAGCGUUGUCCGGAAUCACUGGGCGUAAAGGGCGCGUAGGCGGUGCGGUGAGUCACCUGUGAAAUCUCCUGGCUCAACUGGGAGCUUGCAGGCGAAACUGCCGUGCUGGAGUGUGGGAGAGGUGCGUGGAAUUCCUGGUGUAGCGGUGAAAUGCGUAGAUAUCAGGAGGAACACCUGUGGUGUAGACAGCUUACUGGACCAUUUCUGACGCUGAGACACGAAAGCGUGGGUAGCAAACAGG